Molecule: long non-coding RNA, 634 nt
Filed under: Anser brachyrhynchus (Pink-footed goose)
Lineage: Eukaryota; Metazoa; Chordata; Aves; Anseriformes; Anatidae
Description: lncRNA (ENSABRG00000003116.1)
Source: RNAcentral
GCUCCCCGCUGCUGCCCCAGGCCCUGGCUGUGCAGGGAGCCCUCGCGGUGGGACAGGUUCUGCAUCAACCAUUGACCAACGCGUUGGUAACAGCACGUAUACGACCACCACCGUGAGCACAACAACAUCAGCGUCACUCCCGUAACGCUGUACAUUUUGUUAUCCAUUUGCACAAUGUAUUAUGCCUGACUGAUCCAUUUCCCCUGCUAUUGAGUGGUAGAUUGUGGAUUAGUACCUCGAGCCAACACCAGUCUGCAUGGGAACGUAAUAGGAUCUUGCAUCAUUUUUAAUGACUCUGAUUAAGCAGCUGGCUUCAGAAGAGCGUGCGCUGCGUGGCCCUUCUGGGGGGAGAAGUCGCGGGGGUGCUGGUGGCAGCGCAAAGCAGCUCUCGUCCGUCUGUCCUCCUGUGCCGGCACGCCGGGUGCUCUCCCCUGCGCCUCAGGGAAAACGCAGGGCUUUCCAAAGUGCACAGCCAUCAUCUGCCUUAAGUGGAAGCCGUCCUCGCAGGCCGCCUGCUGCGAGCCAGCCGCCGACCGCCUCUGCUCCUGGCGACCCGAAGAGACCCGUGGCAGCUGCCGCUGUCACACCAGCCACGUACCGAUGGUGCACAUACCCGACGCAGCCGAAAUGCUGA